RNAcentral lists this ribosomal RNA (252 nucleotides) under uncultured bacterium. RNAcentral's name for it is "partial 16S ribosomal RNA". It matches the Rfam family "Bacterial small subunit ribosomal RNA", at positions 524 to 776 of the family's 1533-position model. The record is from RNAcentral.
UACGUAGGUCCCGAGCGUUGUCCGGAUUUAUUGGGCGUAAAGGGUGCGUAGGUGGUUUCUUAAGUCUGGUGUAAAAGGCAGUGGCUCAACCAUUGUAUGCAUUGGAAACUGGUAGACUUGAGUGCAGGAGAGGAGAGUGGAAUUCCAUGUGUAGCGGUGAAAUGCGUAGAUAUAUGGAGGAACACCGGUGGCGAAAGCGGCUCUCUGGCCUGUAACUGACACUGAGGCUCGAAAGCGUGGGGAGCAAACAGG